RNAcentral lists this ribosomal RNA (432 nucleotides) under uncultured bacterium. RNAcentral's name for it is "bacterial SSU rRNA". It matches the Rfam family "Bacterial small subunit ribosomal RNA", at positions 1 to 430 of the family's 1533-position model. The record is from RNAcentral.
CCCUUAGAGUUUGAUCCUGGCUCAGGACGAACGCUGGCGGCGCGCCUAACACAUGCAAGUCGAACGAGAGAUGAGGAGCUUGCUCUUCAGAUCGAGUGGCGAACGGGUGAGUAACGCGUGAGGAACCUGCCUCAAAGAGGGGGACAACAGUUGGAAACGACUGCUAAUACCGCAUAAGCCCACAGCUCGGCAUCGAGCAGAGGGAAAAGGAGUGAUCCGCUUUGAGAUGGCCUCGCGUCCGAUUAGCUAGUUGGUGAGGUAACGGCCCACCAAGGCGACGAUCGGUAGCCGGACUGAGAGGUUGAACGGCCACAUUGGGACUGAGACACGGCCCAGACUCCUACGGGAGGCAGCAGUGGGGAAUAUUGCACAAUGGGGGGAACCCUGAUGCAGCGACGCCGCGUGGAGGAAGAAGGUCUUCGGAUUGUAAAC